Molecule: ribosomal RNA, 2136 nt
Filed under: Triticum aestivum (bread wheat)
Lineage: Eukaryota; Viridiplantae; Streptophyta; Magnoliopsida; Poales; Poaceae
Description: partial small subunit ribosomal RNA
Source: RNAcentral
AUGGAUCUGCCUUGUCAUCGGUGGAUGGCCAUGGUUAUCCUCCCCCUCCUGCUCCUCGUGCCUCUCACCGCUGCCCAAAUGUGGCCAUCCUGUGGCGAGAGCGGCGACUACAAAUCAAAUAGCACCUACGAAGCCAACCUCAAGCUCCUCUCAACCACCCUCCCGAAGAAAGCAGCGUCCAGCACCAACCUCUUCGCCACCGACACCGUUGGCAAUGUUCCGAAUGUCAUCUUCGCCCUCGCACUCUGCCGCGGGGACUCCAACACCUCUGCCUGCGAGGGAUGUUUGGUUACUGCCUUCCAGGACGGGCAGGAGCACUGCGCGAACUAUAAGGACGCCGCUGUGUACUAUGAUAGCAAUCCUUGCAUGCUCAGGUUCUCCAACAAGAAUUUUCUCUCCACCACCGUCAAUGACCAUAUACUCAUCAUUGUUAGCAUCGAGAGCUUGAUGAUGAACAUCUCGACAAGAGCCGACUCCUUCAGGGUCUUGUUGUUCACGCUUCUGAACAACACGGCUCAAGCGGCCGCGAACAGCUUGAGGAGGUUCACCACCUCGCGCUUAGACGUCAACUCCUUCCCUACGCUCUACUGCCUUAUGCAGUGCACGCCAGACCUGACCGCCGACGACUGCACCGCAUGUUUGCAGCCUUACUUCCAGUAUACAGUCAAGUACAUGGAUGGUAAGAAAGGUGGUCGAUUACUGGGGACACGGUGUACCAUGAGAUACGAGAUAUUCCCAUUCUUCCAAGGGGACCCCAUGCUGCGUAUUAUCAACUUGGUAUCUGAAGUUCCGGCGAUCAACAACACCAUUCCACGGAUUACCGUGAACCCACCCCCACAGUCACAGUCACAGCCACAGUCGCCGGUUGCAGCACCACCACCUCCGGAGGCGCAAGCAGCCACCCAAGAACUUCAUGGACGCAACUCACGCCAGAGGCCGCUCUGGAUUAUCGCUGUGGCAGCUCCAUUACUGUCAAUAUUUCUGUGCGUUAUCUGUUUUGUUGUAUGGAUGAGAAGGCGAAGAAAAGGAACGGAAAUAUUACAUGAUCAAGCUGCCAUGAAUAGGCCGGAAGAAGACGCAUUGGUUUGGAGAUUGGAAGAGAAGAGUUCAGAGUUCACUCUGUUUGACUUAUCUGAGGUAUUGCGUGCUACACACAACUUCUCCAAAGAAAACCUACUUGGGCAAGGUGGUUUUGGCCCUGUCUACAAGGGCCAGUUACCAAAUGGAACAGAAAUUGCAGUUAAAAGGCUUGCCUCACAUUCAGGACAGGGUUUCACAGAAUUCAAAAAUGAAGUUGAACUUAUUGCAAAACUACAACACAGUAAUCUGGUCAAGCUCAUGGGAUGCUGCAUUAAGGGAGAGGAAAAACUUUUGGUGUACGAAUAUUUGCCAAAUAAGAGCUUGGACUUCUUCAUCUUUGAUGUUAACCAAACAACUUUGGUUGAUUGGAAUAAAAGAUGUGUGAUAAUCGAAGGGAUAGCCCAAGGUCUACUAUAUCUCCACAAGCACUCCCGGUUGCGCAUCAUACACAGAGACCUUAAGGCCAGCAACAUUCUCUUGGACCAGGACAUGAAUCCUAAAAUUUCUGAUUUUGGGCUAGCAAAAAUUUUCAGCACCAAUGAUUCUCAGGGAAGCACAAAGAAGGUGGUGGGAACAUAUGGUUAUAUGGCUCCGGAGUAUGCAUCUGAAGGAAUUUACUCUAUCAAAUCUGACGUGUUCAGUUUUGGUGUGUUGCUUCUCGAGAUCCUUAGUGGAAAAAGGAAUUCUGGUUUCCAUCAGCAUGAAGACUUUCUUAACCUCCUUGGAUAUUCAUGGCAUCUCUGGGAAGGAGGGAGAUGUCUUGAGCUUCUAGAAGCAUCGAUUGUUGAGGAGAUCCAUGCAGCGGAGGCUAGUAGGUACAUUAACAUUGCGCUAAUGUGCGUACAAGAGCGCGCAGACGAUCGACCAACCAUGUCGACUGUCGUCGCAAUGUUAAACAGUGAGAAUGUUAGUCUUCCAGGGCCUAAACAUCCGGCAUACUUCAACCUACGGGUAUCCAAGGAAGAUGAAUCGGGUAGUGUUCCAUACAGUAAUAAUGCCGACACCAUCUGCAGUAAUAAUGACUUGACCAUCACUGAGGAGCCAGAUGGCAGAUAG